RNAcentral lists this ribosomal RNA (497 nucleotides) under uncultured bacterium. RNAcentral describes it as "partial 16S ribosomal RNA". It matches the Rfam family "Bacterial small subunit ribosomal RNA", at positions 28 to 507 of the family's 1533-position model. The record is from RNAcentral.
GAUGAACGCUGGCGGCGUGCCUAAUACAUGCAAGUCGAGCGAACAGACGAGGAGCUUGCUCCUCUGACGUUAGGGGCGGACGGGAGAGUAACAUGUGUAUAACCUACCUAUCAUACUGGUAUCACUUCGGGACACCGGAGCUAAUACCGGAUAAUCUAUUGAACCGCAUGGGUGAAUAGUGAAAGACGGUUUUGCUGUAACUUAUAGCUGCAUCCGCGCCGCAUUAGCUAGUUGGUAAGGAACCGGGUUACCACGGGAAGCAGGCGUAAACGAGCUGAUAGGGUGAUCGGCCACCCUGGAACGUGGACACGGUCCAGACUCCUAAGGGAGGCAGCAGUAGGGAAUGUUCGGCAACGGUGGAGAACCUGACGGAGCGACGCCGCGUGAGUGAUGACGGUCUUCGGAGCGUAAAACCCUGUUAUUAGGUAAGAACAAAUGUCUAAUUAACCGUGCCCGGCUUGACGGUAACGAGUCAGAAAGCACCGGCUAACUACGUG